CGGCCAACAGCGUUUCGGGGC
RNAcentral lists this microRNA (21 nucleotides) under Picea abies (Norway spruce). Its description in RNAcentral is "pab-miR11423f". The record is from miRBase by way of RNAcentral. Lineage: Eukaryota; Viridiplantae; Streptophyta; Pinopsida; Pinales; Pinaceae.